Molecule: ribosomal RNA, 429 nt
Filed under: Actinomycetes bacterium
Lineage: Bacteria; Bacillati; Actinomycetota; Actinomycetes
Description: Actinobacteria bacterium partial 16S ribosomal RNA
Rfam family: Bacterial small subunit ribosomal RNA
Source: RNAcentral
UAGGGAAUCUUCCGCAAUGGGCGAAAGCCUGACGGAGCAACGCCGCGUGAGUGAUGAAGGUCUUCGGAUCGUAAAACUCUGUUAUUAGGGAAGAACAAAUGUGUAAGUAACUAUGCACGUCUUGACGGUACCUAAUCAGAAAGCCACGGCUAACUACGUGCCAGCAGCCGCGGUAAUACGUAGGUGGCAAGCGUUAUCCGGAAUUAUUGGGCGUAAAGCGCGCGUAGGCGGUUUUUUAAGUCUGAUGUGAAAGCCCACGGCUCAACCGUGGAGGGUCAUUGGAAACUGGAAAACUUGAGUGCAGAAGAGGAAAGUGGAAUUCCAUGUGUAGCGGUGAAAUGCGCAGAGGUAUGGAGGAACACCAGUGGCGAAGGCGACUUUCUGGUCUGUAACUGACGCUGAUGAGCGAAAGAGUGGGGAUCAAACAGG